Molecule: ribosomal RNA, 325 nt
Filed under: uncultured bacterium
Lineage: Bacteria
Description: bacterial SSU rRNA
Rfam family: Bacterial small subunit ribosomal RNA
Source: RNAcentral
GAUGAACGCUAGCUACAGGCUUAACACAUGCAAGUCGAGGGGAAACGACAUCGAAAGCUUGCUUUUGAUGGGCGUCGACCGGCGCACGGGUGAGUAACGCGUAUCCAACCUGCCCACCACUUGGGGAUAACCUUGCGAAAGUAAGACUAAUACCCGAUGAUAUCUCUAUAAGACAUCUGAAAGGGAUUAAAGAUUUAUCGGUGAUGGAUGGGGAUGCGUCUGAUUAGCUUGUUGGCGGGUAACGGCCCACCAAGGCGACGAUCAGUAGGGGUUCUGAGAGGAAGGUCCCCCCACAUUGGAACUGAGACACGGUCCAAACUCCUAC